CCCUCGAUAGCUCAGUUGGCAGAGCGGAGGACUGUAGAUGUUACAACGGUGAUCCUUAGGUCGUUAGUUCCAAUCCGGCUCGAGGGA
Non-coding RNA from Cordylochernes scorpioides, 87 nucleotides. Lineage: Eukaryota; Metazoa; Arthropoda; Arachnida; Pseudoscorpiones; Chernetidae. The record is from the annotation of a GenBank genome assembly.